Mobula hypostoma (lesser devil ray) is the source of this 2349-nucleotide RNA transcript. It is a transcript of the gene named apolipoprotein B mRNA editing enzyme, catalytic polypeptide-like 2a, with no coding region annotated. The record is from RefSeq and is a predicted model, not a curated record. NCBI's taxonomy places the organism in Eukaryota, Metazoa, Chordata, Chondrichthyes, Myliobatiformes, Myliobatidae. The transcript has 3 exons.
GUCCUCUCUACCCUUGCUCCCUUAUUUGGUGGGUGAGGCAUUUUAACGCUGCAGGGAUUUCUCUCCUGCUCAGUGAAGAGCUUGCUGUCAGACAGUGCACAUCCCACUGGCCUGUACUGUCUAAACAUGGCCGAAAACAAGACUGAAGCAGCAAAUGAGGAAGUUGACAGUAAGGACAAAGUAGAGGGCAAAGAAAAUGCUGAAGUCGUCGACCUGGGGCCUUUUGAAAUCGUCAUCGGACAGCAAAUACCUUCUAUUUUCUUCAAGUUCCAGUUCAAAAACGUAGAAUACAGCUCGGGAAGGAAUAAGACAUUUUUGUGCUAUUCAGUGGAACAGCAAGGUGCAGAUUGCCAGAAGAUGCAAGGAUACGUGGAGGACGAGCACACAAGUACGCAUGCAGAAGAGGCCUUCUUUGCAGAGGUCUUCAAGGAAUGCAAUGGCAGUUUGAAGUACUCCAUCACUUGGCACGUCUCCUCCAGCCCUUGUGCAGCCUGCGCUUCCAAAAUUGCAGAAUUCCUGAAGAAGAGUCCCAACGUCCGCCUCACCAUCUUCAUGGCUCGCUUGUUCAUGUGGGAAGAGCCUGAGAUCCAACAAGGUCUUCAGCUGCUGAAAGCUGCUGGUUGCCGAUUGAAGAUCAUGAAGGCUCCCGAGUAUAACUACUGCUGGAGCACUUACGUUGAAAAUGAAGGGGAAUCUUUUGUACCCUGGGAAGACCUACAGCCCAGCAGCUUGGCAUAUGAAGGGAUUCUAAAUGAAAUUCUACAACGUGCCUAGAAGGGUGAGGCAUUCUGACGUGUCCCCAAAUUUGGUGGUUCCCACUGCCUGAUGUUUUUAUUGCCUCAUUGUAUGUUUGCUGUGAGCACUUAUUAGUUUUUAUUGAUUUACACAUGGGAAGGAAAGAAUAUUGCGUGCUGUUAAAGCCAAACACUUCAAUAACUCCACACAACACAGCGAGCAUCAGUGAAGAAGCUAAGGUUAUUUAUUCACUCGGACAGAACUGAAAGGAAUUUGCUUUUACUUCUGGAAAUGCAUCAAGUUUCUUGAACACGUACUUAAUGUCUUGAACUCGAGUUCUUUGGUAGCAGUUACUGUGAAAUGUCCCAAUCGAAAUGAAGCUCCAAGCUACUUACUAUGGUUUUAAAUACUGGACUGCCUGAAGCCUGCAAGAAGGUUUCAUGUUAAUAAAAUGCAAUACUUUGUGUAGAGAAUACCAGUGUCAUGUAGGACACGUCAGUGUGCCCUAUUCAGUAUUCACUGCUGCUUUAUGCUUUACAAUAAAACACUGUGUACCCUUUAGCUGUUUAGUUCUUUCAUUUCAGGUCUGUCAGCAUCUCAUCUCCUACCUCACACCAUUUACAACUGAAACUUCUGGAUUCACCUUCAGGGUUUCUGGUAGUUUUUUUAUUUCUAUCCCAAGACUUAUCUAUCACAAGAUGUUUAAUCAUGAAAAUUAUCAUAAACAAAUUGAUUAACUUUUAAACAGCUCUUCAAAUAACUGGAACACAACACAUACUGAUAUGCAGCAAUUUACUGACAAAUCAGUUUAUUUUAAGUGGCACAUCCAGGUGUUAUCUUGUGCACCAAUUGACCAAUUUAUGAAAGGGUCACUUCUACCACGUAUAUUGCUGCUAAAAGCAAUGUAGAUCUGUUAUGGAAAGACAGCUGUAAGAAUCAUUCUCACUUGAACAUGCUCACAGUCAAUCAUACCACACUUCACUCCAAGUGCAAGUCAACUAUCAAACACCUGUUUACACCAAGCAUGUUUUAUUCCUUUUAAACUCCCAACAACUCUGCCUAAAUUCUACUACUCCACCACACACUAAUGGAAAUUUUCAUUUCUUUGUUAUAUUCUGUGUCGCAUGACGUGGGUAAUCAUGGUCUUGCCAAGAACAAUCAUGGUCAUGGAAAAUUUUGCUACAGAAGUGGUCUCACGGAUAAAGGAGGUUACAUUAAAGCAGAGGGGAGGUUGCCAGUGUGAUUCCUGCUGAUAGUGGAAAGGGGCAUGUGGGAUCACAUUAAAUCUGGUGGAAGUGAUGAAGAAUGAUGUGCUGGAUGCCGAGGCUGAUGGGGUAUACAGACCGAGAGAACUCUACCCCUAUUGUAUGUUAGGGAGGCUAAGAAUGGGUGGGGGGAAUGGAAGAGAGGCGUGGCAUCCCAGCAAAGGACAGAGUGGGAGAUGUAAUCUAGGUCACUAUGGGAGUCAAUAAGUUUGUAGUAAAUGCUUUGGAUAGUUUGUCUCAAGAUGGAGACAGAUCAGGAAAGGAGAGGCAUCUGAAAAGUCCCAGUAAUCUUGAGGACAGGUGCAAGUUAACAGAGAAGUUGAUGAAAUUAAUGAGUUCUGCACAGCUG